Molecule: transfer RNA, 61 nt
Filed under: Onchidella celtica (Celtic sea slug)
Lineage: Eukaryota; Metazoa; Mollusca; Gastropoda; Systellommatophora; Onchidiidae
Description: tRNA-His
Source: RNAcentral
CUUUUUAUAGGUUAAAAAAACCGGGUGCCUGUGGAGCACCAAAUCUGAUUUAGUGAGAAGC